GAAUGCAUAGGAAGGGAUGGAGGUG
Molecule: non-coding RNA, 25 nt
Filed under: Cricetulus griseus (Chinese hamster)
Lineage: Eukaryota; Metazoa; Chordata; Mammalia; Rodentia; Cricetidae
Source: RNAcentral